This 815-nucleotide ribosomal RNA is filed under the name Chrysoporthe cubensis. Its description in RNAcentral is "partial large subunit ribosomal RNA". It matches the Rfam family "Eukaryotic large subunit ribosomal RNA", at positions 67 to 914 of the family's 3401-position model. Lineage: Eukaryota; Fungi; Ascomycota; Sordariomycetes; Diaporthales; Cryphonectriaceae. The record is from RNAcentral.
AACAGGGAUUGCCUAGUACGGCGAGUGAAGCGGCAACAGCUCAAAUUUGAAAUCUGGCCUCGGCCCGAGUUGUAAUUUGCAGAGGAUGUUUCUGGCGCGGUGCCUUCCGAGUUCCCUGGAACGGGACGCCACAGAGGGUGAGAGCCCCGUAUGGUUGGACACUAAGCCUGUGUGAAACUCCUUCGACGAGUCGAGUAGUUUGGGAAUGCUGCUCAAAAUGGGAGGUAAAUCUCUUCUAAAGCUAAAUACCGGCCAGAGACCGAUAGCGCACAAGUAGAGUGAUCGAAAGAUGAAAAGCACCUUGAAAAGGGGGUUAAACAGUACGUGAAAUUGUUGAAAGGGAAGCGCUUGUGACCAGACUUGCGCCGGGCGGCUCAUCCGGGGUUCUCCCCGGUGCACUCCGCCCGGCUCAGGCCAGCAUCGGUUCUCGUUGGGGGAUAAGAACGGCAGGAACGUGGCCCUCCUUCGGGUGGGUGUUAUAGCCUGCCGUACGAUACCCUGACGGGGACCGAGGUUCGCGCUCCGCAAGGAUGCUGGCGUAAUGGUCAUCAGCGACCCGUCUUGAAACACGGACCAAGGAGUCGUCCAUUAGAGCGAGCGUUUGGGUGUCAAACCCGCACGCGUAAUGAAAGUGAAAUUAGGUGAGAGCUUCGGCGCAUCAUCGACCGAUCCUGAUGUUCUCGGAUGGAUUUGAGUAAGAGUUUUAACGGACGGACCCGAAAGACAGUGAACUAUGCUUGUAUAGGGUGAAGCCAGAGGAAACUCUGGUGGAGGCUCGCAGCGGUUCUGACGUGCAAAUCGAUCGUCAAAUAUGA